GUCCAGGCCCUCCCCUCAGAGAGGCUGUACCAUUGACCUGGGAGAUGUGGGUUGUUUUCUGAUGUCUUUCUCAGGUGACUCAAGUGCAGAGGUGAAACGUGAGAGUCCCUCCUCAAGGAUGUCAGUACAAUCUACUUUAGAAGCUGGCCAUUGAAGAGAGAAGAGUGAUCAUGUUACAUGGCUGGCAUGGAGCACGCAGGCACUCCAGGGCAUACAUGUGCUGAGAAGGUAGGCCAUGUGUGCUACAGAGAGAACCACUGAGGCGCUCAGCAGGAAUACCCUGAGUCUGCUGCACAAAGCAGAAUGCUCACAAGCCAUGUGCUGUGUUUCUAAUUCUGCAGCGGGUUAGAAUGCAGACAGGACUGAGGAGGGCUUCAGAGACCAGCGACUUGGCAAGCAAGUGAGAGAGAAAGAGAAACCAAGCUUUCCUUCCAGUCUAAAUCAAAUCCUUGUGAGUUUAAUGACCUUCACCCAAGACUAUAUGGGGCAUGCAGUCUGCUCUGGAUAUGGUGUUGAUUCUGCCAAAGGAAAAAGGACAUUGAUGCUCUAAUUACUGAUGGAAGACACGGAAAAAACACCUCUUAGCUCUGAACGUAUUUAUCAGUCUUCUCAGCACUGAUUGAAACCUGCCAUUCAGCCUUUGCAUAGCCACCAGGAGCAUUAAAUGGUGUUGAUGCAAGGACUUCAAACACUGAACUGGAAUUUCGAUCAGAUUCUUGAGGCUGCCAAGCCAGUGACAUCAGUGUGCUAUCUGAGUCAUGUGGCACACAACAGACAAUAGUGGUG
This 786-nucleotide long non-coding RNA is filed under the name Cricetulus griseus (Chinese hamster). RNAcentral's name for it is "lncRNA (ENSCGRG00015037606.1)". The record is from RNAcentral. Lineage: Eukaryota; Metazoa; Chordata; Mammalia; Rodentia; Cricetidae.